Molecule: long non-coding RNA, 269 nt
Filed under: Homo sapiens (human)
Lineage: Eukaryota; Metazoa; Chordata; Mammalia; Primates; Hominidae
Description: HSALNT0179261
Source: RNAcentral
AGGGAGGGCGGGUGGAGGGGUCGGGAGGAACGGGGGGCGGGAAAGAUCCGCCACCGGGUUGAAUCCUCCGGGCGGACUGCGCGGACCUGACCCAUUUACCUCUUAACGGUUUCACGCCCUCUUGUACUCUCUCUUCAAAGUUCUUUUCAACUUUCCCUUACGGUACUUGUUGACUAUCGGUCUCGUGCCGGUAUUUAGCCUUAAAUGGAGUUUACCACCCGCUUUGGGCUGCAUUCCCAAGCAACCCGACUCCUGGAAGACCCGGGCCA